CAGCCGCCGCGGUAAUACGUAGGGUGCGAGCGUUAAUCGGAAUUACUGGGCGUAAAGCGUGCGCAGGCGGUUGUGUAAGACAGGUGUGAAAUCCCCGGGCUUAACCUGGGAACUGCGCUUGUGACUGCACAGCUAGAGUGUGGCAGAGGGGGGUGGAAUUCCACGUGUAGCAGUGAAAUGCGUAGAGAUGUGGAGGAACACCGAUGGCGAAGGCAGCCCCCUGGGCCAAUACUGACGCUCAUGCACGAAAGCGUGGGGAGCAAACAGGAUUAGAUACCCCCGUAGUCCCUGUCUCUUAUAC
RNAcentral lists this ribosomal RNA (301 nucleotides) under uncultured bacterium. Its description in RNAcentral is "partial 16S ribosomal RNA". It matches the Rfam family "Bacterial small subunit ribosomal RNA", at positions 509 to 807 of the family's 1533-position model. The record is from RNAcentral.